GAGAGAGAGAGAGAGAGACGAUAAACAAAUGAAAUGUAGCCAAGGAGGCAAAAUGGAGGUCAGUGCUUGUGGCGUUGUAGCUUUUGGUGAAGGACAAGGAAGACCGAAGAAGAGAUUGACUAGCUGGCGAUUGGUGUUGCCAUUUAUAGUCAAGAUUGAGAAAGUGACCAAUGAGCGAAAGAAGGUAUCGAAAUGGCAGUCCGGGCUUGGUAGGUUUAAAGAGGAAACGGCAUAAG
RNAcentral lists this unclassified non-coding RNA (236 nucleotides) under Hevea brasiliensis (rubber tree). The record is from RNAcentral. Lineage: Eukaryota; Viridiplantae; Streptophyta; Magnoliopsida; Malpighiales; Euphorbiaceae.